GACGAACGCUGGCGGCGUGCUUAACACAUGCCAGUCGAACGGAAAGGCUCCAGCUUGCUGGAGUACACGAGUGGCGAACGGGUGAGUAACACGUGGGUAAUCUGCCCUGCACUCUGGGAUAAGCCUGGGAAACUGGGUCUAAUACUGGAUAUGACCUUUCUCCUUAUGGGGUUUGGUGGAAAGUUUUUCGGUGUAGGAUGAGCCCGCGGCCUAUCAGCUUGUUGGUGGGGUGAUGGCCUACCAAGGCGACGACGGGUAGCCGGCCUGAGAGGGUGAUCGGCCACAUUGGGACUGAGAUACGGCCCAGACUCCUACGGGAGGCAGCAGUGGGGAAUAUUGCACAAUGGGCGGAAGCCUGAUGCAGCGACGCCGCGUGAGGGAUGACGGCCUUCGGGUUGUAAACCUCUUUCAGCAGGGACGAAGCGUAAGUGACGGUACCUGCAGAAGAAGCACCGGCUAACUAUGUG
Molecule: ribosomal RNA, 467 nt
Filed under: uncultured bacterium
Lineage: Bacteria
Description: partial 16S ribosomal RNA
Rfam family: Bacterial small subunit ribosomal RNA
Source: RNAcentral